AUGCAAUUUUAUGAUGAAAAACUUAAUUUGGAAGUUUCUAUACCUAGAAAACUUAAUGAUGAGUGGGAACCUACUAUAAAGAUUAGAAUUAAAGAUUAUGAGUGUUUUGCUUUGUGUGAUUUGGGUGCUAGUGUUUCCACGAUUCCGAAAACUUUAUGUGAUAUUCUAGGUUUCCAUGAUCUUGAUGAUUGCUCUUUAAAUUUGCACCUUGCGGAUUCCACCAUUAAAAAGCCUAUGGGAAGUAUCAAUGAUGUUCUAAUUGUUGCAAAUAGAAAUUUGGUUCCCGUAGAUUUUAUCGUUCUUGAUAUAGAUUGCAAUCUUUCUUGCCCUGUUAUUCUUGGUAGCCUUUCCUUAGAAUGA
This 360-nucleotide ribosomal RNA is filed under the name Triticum aestivum (bread wheat). RNAcentral's name for it is "partial small subunit ribosomal RNA". The record is from RNAcentral. Lineage: Eukaryota; Viridiplantae; Streptophyta; Magnoliopsida; Poales; Poaceae.